Molecule: transfer RNA, 64 nt
Filed under: Formosatettix qinlingensis
Lineage: Eukaryota; Metazoa; Arthropoda; Insecta; Orthoptera; Tetrigidae
Description: tRNA-Glu
Rfam family: tRNA
About the family: Transfer RNA (tRNA) molecules are approximately 80 nucleotides in length. Their secondary structure includes four short double-helical elements and three loops (D, anti-codon, and T loops).
Source: RNAcentral
AUUUAUGUAGUUUAUGUAAAACAUUACAUUUUCACUGUAAAAAUAAUAGGAAUAUUCUUAAAUA